This 69-nucleotide transfer RNA is filed under the name Amphibalanus reticulatus. RNAcentral's name for it is "tRNA-Arg". Lineage: Eukaryota; Metazoa; Arthropoda; Thecostraca; Balanomorpha; Balanidae. The record is from RNAcentral.
GAGUAAGAAGCGAAUUAUUGCUAUCGGUUUCGACCCGAUCUAUGGUCUCUAUUUACUGGCCCUUACUCU